This 253-nucleotide ribosomal RNA is filed under the name uncultured bacterium. RNAcentral describes it as "partial 16S ribosomal RNA". It matches the Rfam family "Bacterial small subunit ribosomal RNA", at positions 524 to 776 of the family's 1533-position model. The record is from RNAcentral.
UACAGAGGGGGCAAGCGUUAUUCGGAAUUAUUGGGCGUAAAGGGCGCGUAGGCGGCUUGGCAAGUGGAUGGUGAAAUCCCUCGGCUUAACCGAGGAACUGCCGUCCAAACUGCUUUGCUUGAGACCGGGAGAGGUGAGUGGAAUUCCCGGUGUAGCGGUGAAAUGUGUAGAGAUCGGGAGGAACACCGGUGGCGAAGGCGGCCUUCUGGACGGUGACUGACGCUGAGGCGCGAAAGCGUGGGGAGCAAACGGG